Molecule: non-coding RNA, 7233 nt
Organism: Neolamprologus brichardi
Lineage: Eukaryota; Metazoa; Chordata; Actinopteri; Cichliformes; Cichlidae
Source: RefSeq, a predicted model, not a curated record
UGCAGAACUGCACGCUGCUGUGGAAGUUACUAGAUCAUUCAACCCACCCGGAGACAAACGUGACUGGUUACGUAACUUGUCAAAGGGGAAAAUUUUGCUCCACUGGUUGUUACUGGGCGUCUGAAGAACGGCUACUAUCUUUGGCUUCCAACUGNNUUAUCACUGGCUGAAACGUGGGAAAGGUCCAUAGCCAAAUCCUGACCAUGGCUGCAGUGCAUCACCAAGGGUACCCGCUCAGGGAUUCACUGUACUGGGAUGAAACAGAGUGCCUCAACUACUAUGGGAUGUUGUCUCUCCAUGAAGUCUUUGAAGUAGUUGGUUCUCAGCUGACAGAGACUGACAUUGAAGUCCUGUCAUUCCUUCUGAAUGAAACUUGCUCCGCGACACAUCCUCUCGAUCCCGCAAGCUGGACAGUUGAACCCCGUGAGGACAAUCCAGAUGAUCCAGGUGUGGCCCCAAGUCCACAGCUGCUAAAAGCAUGGCAGCAAUUAAAGCCUACGGGGUCACAGCAGCCCUUUUUGGACCCAAAACCCAAGAGUGGCCUUGAGCUGUUGCUACAGCUCGAGAGGAAAGGAUACCUUAGUGAUGGAAAUCUGGCACCACUACUACAACUUCUAAGAGUCCUUACCCGUCAUGACCUGCUACCCUUAGUGUCCCACAAGAAAAGGAGGACAGUUUCUCCAGAGAGAAUUGGACAGAGGUAUGAGAUAGAAAGCACAGAGUCUGUGUGUACUUCUGGAAUAAGUAGCAGCUGCAGGGAGACAGAAACUCCUCUUACAUCUUUCGCACAUCAAUUAGAAACUGGUAUUUACACUCCUGUGGCUGGGCCAUGUGCAAGUAGGCGGAGGAAGAAGAGGGGAAAUGGCUGGAGCCGUAAGUCCAAGAAAACAAGCAGGCAAAGUCAUCCUCUGCCUCCACCACCAGCGCCACAAAAAGUGUCCUGUGGUAAGUGCAACUCAUGCAUUUUCAAAGUGUCUUUCUUUUUAUUUAUUUUUUGGUUUUUUCUCUUGUCUUCUGUUGUACCUUCAUCCUGCUAUUUACCCCUGCUGCUCAUUUUUCCUUCUUUAAACGGACGAGAAUAUAAUUUUCAGCCUAUUAACACCUCCCUGGCAUCAUCAUAUUUCCUGUUUAGUUUCUUCAAUUCUGAUGUUGUUUAUCUAUGCUAAAUCUUGAAUGCCAAAAUGUUAUUUAUUUUUUUUUCCGUUGUCACACCAAAAUGCAUAAAAGCCCCAAGUUCAUGCUUAAGAACAUUCGUGUUUAAAAGCUAGCAUACAAUUUAACAUGUUAUUUGUAGACUUAGGAGAAACGGACAAAUUAAAUAGCAGUAGGGAUGGUAAUUGAUAAGAAUUUAGUAAUUCCGAUUUCUUUAUCGAUUUUGCUUAUUGAUUCGGCUCCUUAUCGAUUUCUCAUUGCCUCCACUUUGAGAGUUGCCAGCACUUCUAAGCAGCAUAUCAAAUACAUGCAAAUUAAUUGCGUACGUAAUUAACUAGGUGGUGAAAUGUUUGUGCAUGUUGGAGGCAUUUCCCCUCUUUGUUGUGAUCAGUGUUGGGGUCACUACUCAAAAAAAUAAAUUAAAAAACUUGUUGCACAUAUUUCACAGAACACAUUUCUUAAAAGUAAUGCAGUACGUUAUUUAAUUACUUCCAGGAGAAAGACAUUUGUUAUACUACUUGUUACAUUACUUUGGUGUUACUCUGUAAAAUGAUCUGAAACUCACCGUCUCAUAAUCACAAAUCCUAAUAAGGACAAACGUGAUCUUUCUCUUAGUAUUUAGGUAUGAACACAAAGCCGACAAUGCAAGUCGAGGAUAAAAAAAACCAUCACCAAGAGACUUUAAAGCAAUCGUCUUGGUGAUUCCACUGUAGAAACAUGAAUGGGUAGAAACGGAGACUGCAGUAUGACUGCUCAUCAGUUUGUUACCUGUUGAAGUUCAGCAGUGGCUGCUUCACCAUAACUGAUGGCUCACUUUAUCAUGGUGCUGGGCUUAAGUCAGCAUUCACUCAGCUUUAGCAUCACUCUGAGUUCCUCUUAGCUUAGCGUUAGCAUGCUGUGCUUGCGGAAUGUUGAAGUUGCGUUAACAGUAUAAGGCAGUUGUUUCUGUCCCAGUCUCCACUUUACCAUUGCGCUCUCAUCCUUUUAUGCAAUAAAAAUAAAAGAAAUGUCCAUAUUCACGUCGUAAACUGCACUACUGUUUUCCUCCUCUUACACAUAAACUAAAUCAGCUGAAUGUAGCAAGAGUGCAAGAACGGAUAAGCAGGGUCGAUAGGCAGGCAGACUAACGAUUUGAAGGAAGUAGACUACUGGGGACCAGUUUUUGACAAGAACCAGUUCUCGAUUCCCAUCCCUAAAUAGCACAGAAGCACAGAGCGGUACACUAGAUUCACACCUACUUAUAAAAAUAUGGAAGAUGGUGUGCUUGCAAAGGCCACUGUAUUUUACCUCUUCCUGGAGCUGCACAGAGUCCAAACAUGUUCCAGGGUUGAGGAAACUUUUAUUUUCCUUCUGUUUUGUUUUUCAACCCAGUGUCACAUUUGGUGAAAAAUCCAGACUGCAAUAUUGCCUAAAGCUCUCUGUGCUGCACAGACCACAGCGGUCAUACUUACCAAAUGUGCUUGAAAAUCCUAGAGCUACUUUUAAGUCUGAGAACUCAAUGUGAUGCACUUCCCUUUGAGGUUUUUUUUUUAAAGCAUUUCCACAUUAUGUUUUUGUUGGUACACUAUGAUCUUGUUGAGACUUAACGAUUACCCUUUAACUGUCGUUUUUAAACAUACAACAUCAGAGUUUUGUUGCCUUAUCAGUUUCUCCCUGUGGGAGUCCUUUAUAUUCUUUUCCCUUCAUUCCACCUCUCUUUUCUCUAACCUUUUGGACUAUGUUCAGCUGCUGCUGUUGAUAAGAAUGCUCACUGGUAGGCUGUGUCUUGUCCUUUUUGUUUUUUGUUUUCUUCCCCUUUCUUUCAAUAUAAGUGUCCAGUCCAAUCACUACCAGAUACAGCCAUUGUUCUGCUUUAUUGCUAAGCUUGAACCAGAGUGGUUCUGACAACUGUCAAACCUUACAUAUCCCCCCAAAAUCACUUUUUAGCAGUUGUUUGAAACUGUCUUAACGCCACUGAAAAGCUGCACUAUGUAAUCCAUUGUCAACGUCCUUGCCCAUAUUUCCACUACUACCUACCUUUAAGAAAUCAAUGGUAGUUUGUCUUGGUACAAAAAGACAGAGAUAACACUAACAUCAGUUUCCCUUUGUAUGAAGUUUGCUUAGUCAUUCAUGUAGACUUUCCCAAACUUCUUUUGAAUGUCCAUCUUUGCCUGUUGGUCAGAAAUAUUCAUUACAACAAAAGCCCGAUGAUUCUCACUUCAUUCAAAAAAUAAAAGAGGAAGAAAUCAUUAAGGACAGCCUUUCUUAGCUACUCAGGAUGAGUGAUGUGCCUGUGACUAUGAACUGUUGCUGUCUUGACUCCACAUUUGAUUCCACCAGGUUGACUCAAGAAUGUGACUCAGAUCGAGUAACCUAAGACACAAUGGAUCAUGGAGACUGAGGAACAAAACAAAAAAGUCUGUCACUCCACUCUGUCUGCACAUACUGCAGUGUGCGCGAUCAACUCAGUCAUGCGCUCUCUCACAAGUCUGGGCCGAUGCCUAAGGUAAAAGAGGCUCUCCCCCUUGUUACAGCAGGGGUUAGUGCUGCCACUUUGCUCUGUAUACGAUGCUUGUGUAUCAUAAUGUAGCUGCUCCUUACCCUGUCUCCCUCAGAAAACAUAAUCUGCUUUAACAGAAAAAAAUCAUCCUGUAAUGUUCUCUAGUCUUGUGCACUGUGGAAGAAAAAAAGCUUCUAUUUGAGAUUUUUAGCUUCCUGCCUAUUAAUGACAAGAGUUAUUGGUGUCAGUGUUUCACAGAACUACCAGAGUCCUCAGCAGUAAGCCUCAAACCCAAAGACUGUACAGUGAUCUUGGGAAAACCUUGAGUCAGUUUGAUUUUACUCAAACCAUACCAAAAGGGGAAGCACGUAACGAAAGUAUUUUAAAUUCCCCAAUAUUUGAAAUCAAGGGAACUUAACAUAUUUUCACAAAUAUGUCCAGCAGAAAUUCCAGUAAAUGUGAGUAAGGCUUGGGAAAAGAAUGAAACUAACCUCUUCCAACCAGGUGACCAGAUGGUUUAUAUGGGCAAGAAUAUGACAUAGCUGAAAACCUUUAGCUGUAAAGAAAACUAAACUGUUAGCCACACUGACAACAUAGCCACUCAUCACAUUGUCUAACCUUAAUUUAUGUACACGGCCUGGGAAACCAAUGCAGCAUAGUUCAAUCUUACAGGAAAAUUAAGUUGGCAGCGUAGUAACCGAGGAAAAAUACAGCAAGUAUGUGUACUGUCAGAGUCAGUCUGUCCUCCAUUUUAGAGCUGCCAUUUCAGAUUUUCCUGCAGAACUUUCCACAGUUAAUUAAACUUUUCAUCGUAUGAAGGGUGGUGAAUGCCUUUGUUGUACAACAGCCAGUUCUCUCUUAGGAAAGACCUAAUUGGUCAGUCUCUAGUCAUGGGCUAAAGCCUAAAAAGAGAGCUGAGAGAAGUUGCACAAGUCUAGUUUUGUCUUGGACAACAUCAAAUUAAAACAUGCAGAAAGGUUAUUGUGGAAGCUUACAGAAAAAUGUCUGCUUAACUUUGCUACUUUAAUAAAAUUCAGUAGCCUGUCAAGGAAGCCACCAGACUUAAAGCAAAUUGCUCCAGCCUACUAUUGUUCAGUCUGAAGGAUUCAUAUUCUGAAAUGGGCACGGUACACCAGCCCUGAUCUUUGCUCAUGUUAGACAGUGGAGUUUCUAAAUUUUAUUAAAGAGGAUGACACCAAAUGAAAUCAUGGAGGUUUUUAGCUGUGGUGAAAGUUUCAGUAGUAAUGCAGAAGUGAAAGCUGUUCUGGUCAUUUAUAAAGAAAACGUAAUGUCUGAUGCCUAACCCAAACAGAGAUUUAGGUUAUGUUUGACUGAGGUCAUGGUGAGAUAAAUUAGGAUUUACAAAAUGAAAUUAGAACAAGUACACUGAAGAGUUUAACUCUGAUUGCAAAGUGGAAACAGAAAUGUGUUGGACAUGUUUGUGAAAAUACGAGUCAGCACUGCAUAUGAACCCAUUGGAGACGUGCAAGGCUUAUAAAUGGCUGCCCUGUGAAUUGAACUGACUCAUAUUAUUUUGGCAAACUGAAACAUCACGAUGCCAGUUCUGGAUGCUCAAGGGACAAAAAAAAAUCCUAAUUGGGCAUAGAGUCCUGUUCUGUAAGGCCAUGUAUUCAAUUGCACCAAAUCUAAAAUGGCUGCCAACAGACAGCUCUUUAAAAAAAAAGAGAAAAAAAAAUGUCCACGUAACCUUUACUCAAGCCGUUCUGGGGAAAAUCACCGAACAGUGCUCUGCUGAAGGAAGCUCAUGCUGUAUCUUAUCUCUGUGCCCUGUGAGAGCCCUGGUGUGCGUUUGUCAAGACGGAGCAGAGAUAGAUAGGGCAGUUCAGUCCAAUGCUGGCCCAUAGCAUUUGAACAGACCUCAAAUACUCUUUCUUGUCACCAUUCAUCAUCUCUUAGGUCAUUUUCAGUGAAGUAUCUCAAUUACAUUCUGACAAUGACAACUGCUGUUACAAAUGUCUUAAAGGUGUUUGCACAUUCAGCUCAGUAGUGUUUUUGUGUCUAAAUGGGGUGCUUGUGAAGGCCCUUCCUUGGUUUAAUGGGCACUGUUGAUUAACGGUGCGGCACAAAAAAAGGGCCGGAAGGUAAGGUUAAGAGAUUUGGUCAAGGUAAGGGUAAUCCAAGUAUCCCAUUUAGAUUUUACCUUGUUAUAGUUCAGAGCAGUAAAUGCAUUUCUGAGCUGAUUAAUUUGCCAAUACAAACUAUUGGCCUUACUGAAGCCUCAUUAAAACUAAGAAGUGACUGCUGUGCCAUGCCUGCUUGAUGUUGGGGGAGGAACAGUCCAUUUAACCACUCUGCAACCCACUUGUGCUUGUCUGUUUCUCUCCUUUGUCUGUGUUCGCAGUUCUAAACAGAGCACCCUGUGUGUCAGGAAAACUAUAUCCUCACACACAAAGAGAAGGAGAGAAUGAACAGUAAAUAUUCAAACUACACAAAACGUUGUUCAACAGAAAAACGGAUCGAUAAAGAGUUGAAGCUCUCCGUGCCAAGUGAGUCCUCGUAAAUGGGUACUUAAACUUUUUCUCUUUUCCCCCCUCCCUCCUUUUGGUGGGGUGAGAUGAGGAGCCAAACGGACUUGGUGUUUAAAGUGAGAAAAUGAAAGCUGUGGUUCCUAAUGUCCUGUCUAAGUGGAUGUCUCUAUGUGUGAUGAAGCGUGAAGUGCUCUGUAACCCUAACAAAAUGACUAUCACUGUGUUCCUGUGCUUUUAAAUGGCCUCCUCCUCACUGUCACUAUCUCUGCCUCCAUCCUCCUCAGUAUGAAAUGGGAAGGCAAAAUGGAGGACAUCCAUAAAUAGAGUAAUUGCAUGAAGGGCAGGUGUUUAUUGUACCCUCAGCCCUCACACACACUAUAAUGAUCCAAAAAGGUCAAAUUGUUAAUGGUGCUUGAACUUCAUAUUUUCCUCUGUCCAUACUGAAUAUUGUAUAAAGUUAGAUUAUGUGUAGUCUGUUCUAUCUUCUAUGAUAGUUCACACCUCAAAAUACAAAAAUGCUCAAACUGCAAAUUUAUCCAUGUGCUUGCCACAACGAUAGAUACGUAAUCUUUUUUUAUAUAACUUCAUUAAAUCACAAUGGACUCCUGCUAGUGAUCAACAAGUGUGAGUUUCGAAGUCAACACAAAUCUGUUGGGGUGAAAAACUGUAGCUUAUUGUGUUGAAAACGUAUGUGACUCGGACUGCAGCGGGUUUCCUUCAGGAUUUCUCAGGAGUUUUGCUGCAUUCAAUUUACCCUCUACCUUCACAAGCUGCUGCAGCGAAGCCUCCACACAGCAUGACGCAGCCACCAUCACACUUGUGGGGAUAAUGUGUUUGUAGUGGUGAGGAGUUACUGACUUGUGAAAGCAGUGGGCAGAAUUCAUAAAAUAAGCCUAAUUCCACGUGGAUCCUCCUCCACUUUUGUAAUGCCAGCUUCCUCUAUAGUAGCCCGCUGGUUUUAUAGGUAGUGUUUCCAUGUCAGCUUUAGGAUUGUGUAGACUUCCUGUAGACGUCUUGGUGCUCUUCUUCACUAAAUGUUGCACAAGUACAGUGUGCUCUAUAGAGAUGAGCAAUUUUUUUUCAUGAUAUUAAACUGAUGAGUCAUGUAACUUA